AUUGAACGCUGGCGGCAGGCUUAACACAUGCAAGUCGAGCGGGGUGAUGGUGCUUGCACUAUCACUUAGCGGCGGACGGGUGAGUAAUGCUUAGGAAUCUGCCUAUUAGUGGGGGACAACAUCUCGAAAGGGAUGCUAAUACCGCAUACGUCCUACGGGAGAAAGCAGGGGAUCACUUGUGACCUUGCGCUAAUAGAUGAGCCUAAGUCGGAUUAGCUAGUUGGUGGGGUAAAGGCCUACCAAGGCGACGAUCUGCAGCGGGUCUGAGAGGAUGAUCCGCCACACUGGGACUGAGACACGGCCCAGACUCCUACGGGAGGCAGCAGUGGGGAAUAUUGGACAAUGGGGAGAACCCUGAUCCAGCCAUGCCGCGUGUGUGAAGAAGGCCUUAUGGUUGUAAAGCACUUUAAGCGAGGAGGAGGCUCUUUUGGUUAAUACCCAAGAUGAGUGGACGUUACUCGCAGAAUAAGCACCGGCUAACUCUGUGCCAGCAGCCGCCGUAA
RNAcentral lists this ribosomal RNA (503 nucleotides) under uncultured bacterium. Its description in RNAcentral is "partial 16S ribosomal RNA". It matches the Rfam family "Bacterial small subunit ribosomal RNA", at positions 30 to 523 of the family's 1533-position model. The record is from RNAcentral.